Molecule: transfer RNA, 73 nt
Filed under: Trachymyrmex septentrionalis
Lineage: Eukaryota; Metazoa; Arthropoda; Insecta; Hymenoptera; Formicidae
Rfam family: tRNA
About the family: Transfer RNA (tRNA) molecules are approximately 80 nucleotides in length. Their secondary structure includes four short double-helical elements and three loops (D, anti-codon, and T loops).
Source: Rfam by way of RNAcentral
GUCUCGGUGGUCUAAAGACUUAGGACGCUCGCAUAGAAUGCAAGAGAUUCAGGUUCGACUCCCAGCCGAGGCA